GAUGGUAUAGCUUCGUGGUAGAGUGCAUGCUUACCAUGCACGGGGUCUUGGGUUCAAUUCCCAGUAUCUCCA
This is a transfer RNA of Camelus ferus (Wild Bactrian camel), 72 nucleotides long. It matches the Rfam family "tRNA". From Rfam's summary of the family: Transfer RNA (tRNA) molecules are approximately 80 nucleotides in length. Their secondary structure includes four short double-helical elements and three loops (D, anti-codon, and T loops). NCBI's taxonomy places the organism in Eukaryota, Metazoa, Chordata, Mammalia, Artiodactyla, Camelidae. The record is from Rfam.